GAAUAACGAAAGCCUUGGGUGCAAUCUUAAAUGAAUUGUGUUAAUUAAAGCUAGCUGGUGUAUCUUGGGAGAGUGCACUAGUAUAUUACUGUAAUUGCUCGGGAGAAAGUUACGGUGAGGCGAUUGUUCAUGAUUGAUAAUGUGUGUUGGUAAAUUUGUAUGAAGCAUAAACAUAAGGGAUUCUAUCAAUAGGGGAAGUCAUUACCUUAGCGUUUCUCUCAUAUUUGUCUACAACCUUAGUUAUUUAGUUAUAGCUUGUUAUUUUUCUGCAAACUUAGUUCGUAAAGAAACCUCAAACUGUAAUUUGAAAGUCUUGGGAAGCUGGUUCUAAAGAAUUUAGUGAGUCUAAAGGUAGCAGUUGAUAGGUUAACUCUCUGUGGAUUCGACCCUGG
This 392-nucleotide long non-coding RNA is filed under the name Nicotiana benthamiana. RNAcentral's name for it is "long non-coding RNA (NBEN_LNC029234)". The record is from RNAcentral. Lineage: Eukaryota; Viridiplantae; Streptophyta; Magnoliopsida; Solanales; Solanaceae.